Molecule: transfer RNA, 77 nt
Filed under: Pseudoalteromonas luteoviolacea
Lineage: Bacteria; Pseudomonadati; Pseudomonadota; Gammaproteobacteria; Alteromonadales; Pseudoalteromonadaceae
Also listed under: 167 other names
Description: tRNA-Pro
Rfam family: tRNA
About the family: Transfer RNA (tRNA) molecules are approximately 80 nucleotides in length.
Source: RNAcentral
CGGCAUAUAGCGCAGCUUGGUAGCGCACUGUCAUGGGGUGUCAGGGGUCGCAGGUUCAAAUCCUGCUAUGCCGACCA